Molecule: unclassified non-coding RNA, 383 nt
Filed under: uncultured bacterium
Lineage: Bacteria
Description: contains 16S-23S intergenic spacer region
Source: RNAcentral
UCCUAGUUUCCUAGGCAGUUCCAUCAGAGUGCCUCCAAAGGAGUUGCAACUGAUAGCAGGGGUUGCGCUCGUUAAAGGACUUAACCCAACAUCUCACGACACGAGCUGACGACAGCCAUGCAGCACCUGUGUACUUGUCCAAGCUUACGCUUGAAAAACCAUAUUUCUACAGCGGUCAAGUACAUGUCAAGCCCAGGUAAGGUUUCUCGCGUAGUAUCGAAUUAAACCACAUGUUCCACCGCUUGUGCGGACCCCCGUCAAUUUCUUUGAGUUUUAAUCUUGCGACCGUACUCCCCAGGCGGGUCACUUAACGCGUUAGCUACGACACUGAUUCCGCAGAGCGGAACCAACGUCUAGUGACCAUCGUUUACAGCGUGGACUAC